Long non-coding RNA from Oncorhynchus kisutch (coho salmon), 402 nucleotides. RefSeq lists it as uncharacterized. NCBI's taxonomy places the organism in Eukaryota, Metazoa, Chordata, Actinopteri, Salmoniformes, Salmonidae. The transcript has 3 exons. The record is from RefSeq and is a predicted model, not a curated record.
UGCACUGUGGUAGUGGGGAACAGGAAGUUCCGGACAGGCGCGCAACAUUCUUCAGAAUAAAGAAAGCGUGCAGUCUAGAAGAGAAUCAUUGUGUCCGUCUCUAUUUAUUACUACAGAAUGAAGAACGUGAUAACUACUUGACAAGUUCCAUAACUAGAGACUUGGUUUGUCUGAGUGGAUGUACAUACUUUUCUCAAAGUAAUUCUGCGUAAACGGGCUUCGGGCAGUGCGGGUGCAGCAGAGAGAGCCAAUUUGACGGUUGCAGUACUGUUUUGAAGCUGAAAUCUGAGGUCGGUAACAUCAAGUGAGGACAAACCCAGCCUGAUCUCUCCUUCCACACUGAGUCCAAACCUACAGUCACUGGGUCCUGAUUGUGACAGUGGAGCCCAGUUUGCACUGCAG